This 253-nucleotide ribosomal RNA is filed under the name uncultured bacterium. RNAcentral describes it as "partial 16S ribosomal RNA". It matches the Rfam family "Bacterial small subunit ribosomal RNA", at positions 524 to 776 of the family's 1533-position model. The record is from RNAcentral.
UACAGAGGGGGCAAGCGUUGGUCGGAAUUACUGGGCGUAAAGGGCGCGUAGGCGGCCUGUUAAGUCGAACGUGAAAUCCCCGGGCUCAACCCGGGAACUGCGUCCGAUACUGGCAGGCUUGAAUUCGGGAGAGGGAUGUGGAAUUCCAGGUGUAGCAGUGAAAUGCGUAGAUAUCGUGAGGAACACCAGAGGCGAAGGCGGUUACCUGGACAGUUACUGACGCUCAGGCACGAAAGCAUGGGGAGCAAAAGGG